Molecule: small RNA, 835 nt
Filed under: uncultured Conexibacter sp.
Lineage: Bacteria; Bacillati; Actinomycetota; Thermoleophilia; Solirubrobacterales; Conexibacteraceae
Description: bacterial SSU rRNA
Rfam family: Bacterial small subunit ribosomal RNA (bases 1-471)
Source: RNAcentral
GUCGUGAGAUGUUGGGUUAAGUCCCGCAACGAGCGCAACCCCUGUCGCAUGUUGCCAGCAUUUAGUUGGGGACUCAUGCGAGACUGCCGGUGACAAACCGGAGGAAGGUGGGGAUGACGUCAAGUCAUCAUGCCCCUUAUGUCCAGGGCUACACACGUGCUACAUUGGCCGGUACAGAGGGCUGCGAUACCGCGAGGUGGAGCGAAUCCCAAAAAGCCGGUCUUGGUUCGGAUUGGAGGCUGAAACUCGCCUCCAUGAAGGCGGAGUUGCUAGUAAUCCCGGAUCAGCAACGCCGGGGUGAAUACGUUCCCGGGUCUUGUACACACCGCCCGUCACACCACGAAAGCGGGCAACACCCGAAGCCGGUGACCCAACCCUUACGGGAGGGAGCCGUCGAAGGUGGGGCUCGUGAUUGGGGUGAAGUCGUAACAAGGUAGCCGUACCGGAAGGUGCGGCUGGAUCACCUCCUUUCUAGGGAGCCCUCAAACGAGGGCCGGCUGUCAGGGCUAGUGCCCUGGCGGCGCAUCUAGAACGUCGACCAAGCCUGGAGCCGGCUCUUUCGAGGGCCGGCGCGUACUGCUGAGUUUUGAGAGACCACCCGGGGAGUCCCCCCGGUGGCACCCUCGCCGGACCUUGAAAACUGCAUUUGCAUGGCCAAACAACGGAAAGAUCACCGUUGAAAUACCGCGAUGCUUCGGCAUCGCGGGGCAUCAACGAUCACCGUCAAGAUAGUAAGGGCACACGGUGGAUGCCUUGGCACUAGGAGUCGAUGAAGGGCGUGGACGGCUGCGAUAAGCCGCGGUGAGCUGCUGAACAGGCUUUGACCCGCGGAUAC